ACGGAAUAGAUACCCUGGUAGUCCACGCCGUAAACAAUGGACGCUAGGUGUUCGGUACAACUACUUAAUCCUUCGGGAUUGAAAUGGAAAGUAUUGAGUACUGCAGCUAACGCGUUAAGCGUCCCGCCUGGGAAGUACGGCCGCAAGGCUAAAACUCAAAUGAAUUGGCGGGGACCCGCACAAAGCGGAGGAGCGCGUGGUUUAAUUCGACGGCAAUCGAAGAACCUUACCAGGGUUUGAAAUGUAUCUGCAUGCCCCAUGAAAGUGGGGAGGCUUUCGAAGGUGAUACACAGGUGCUGCAUGGCCGUCGUCAGCUCGUGUCGUGAGAUGUAGGGUUAAGUCCCGAAACGAGCGCAACCCCUAUCCCAUGUUACAAGUGUCUUGGGAAACCGCCUCGGUAAAACGAGGAGGAAGGUGGGGAUGACGUCUGGUCCGCAUAGCCCUUAUGUCCUGGGCUACACACACGCUACAAUGGCCAAUACAGUAGGAAGCCAAAUCGUAAGAUGGAGCUGAUCCUCAAAGUUGGUCUCAGUUCGGAUUGAGGUCUGAAACUC
This 554-nucleotide ribosomal RNA is filed under the name uncultured bacterium. RNAcentral describes it as "bacterial SSU rRNA". It matches the Rfam family "Bacterial small subunit ribosomal RNA", at positions 772 to 1313 of the family's 1533-position model. The record is from RNAcentral.